AGAACGAACGCUGGCGGCAGGCUUAACACAUGCAAGUCGAGCGCCCCGCAAGGGGAGCGGCAGACGGGUGAGUAACGCGUGGGAACAUACCCUCCGGUUCGGAAUAGCUCAGGGAAACUUGGAUUAAUACCGGAUACGGCCUAGCGGCGAAAGAUUCAUCGCCGGAGGAUUGGCCCGCGUUCGAUUAGCUAGUUGGUGAGGUAACGGCUCACCAAGGCGACGAUCGAUAGCUGGUCUGAGAGGAUGAUCAGCCACAUUGGGACUGAGACACGGCCCAAACUCCUACGGGAGGCAGCAGUGGGGAAUAUUGGACAAUGGCGCAAGCCUGAUCCAGCCAUGCCGCGUGAGUGAUGACGGCCUUAGGGUUGUAAAGCUCUUCGCGUAGGGACGAUAAUGACGGUACCUAGACAAGACGCCCGGCUAACUUCGUGCCAGCAGCCGC
This 442-nucleotide ribosomal RNA is filed under the name uncultured bacterium. RNAcentral describes it as "SSU rRNA". It matches the Rfam family "Bacterial small subunit ribosomal RNA", at positions 26 to 518 of the family's 1533-position model. The record is from RNAcentral.